RNAcentral lists this ribosomal RNA (546 nucleotides) under uncultured bacterium. RNAcentral describes it as "bacterial SSU rRNA". It matches the Rfam family "Bacterial small subunit ribosomal RNA", at positions 120 to 700 of the family's 1533-position model. The record is from RNAcentral.
GGGAACAUACCCCUCGGUUCGGAAUAGCUCAGGGAAACUUGAAUUAAUACCGAAUACGGUCGAGAGGCGAAAGAUUUAUCGCCGAGGGAUUGGCCCGCGUCCGAUUAGCUAGUUGGUGAGGUAAUGGCCCACCAAGGCGACGAUCGGUAGCUGGUCUGAGAGGAUGAUCAGCCACAUUGGGACUGAGACACGGCCCAAACUCCUACGGGAGGCAGCAGUGGGGAAUAUUGGACAAUGGGCGCAAGCCUGAUCCAGCCAUGCCGCGUGAGUGAUGACGGCCUUAGGGUUGUAAAGCUCUUUCGUCAGGGACGAUAAUGACGGUACCUGAAGAAGAAGCCCCGGCUAACUUCGUGCCAGCAGCCGCGGUAAUACGAAGGGGGCUAGCGUUGUUCGGAAUUACUGGGCGUAAAGCGCGUGUAGGCGGGUCUUUAAGUCAGGGGUGAAAUGCCAGGGCUCAACCUUGGAACUGCCUUUGAUACUGGAGAUCUUGAGUCCGGGAGAGGUGAGUGGAACUGCGAGUGUAGAGGUGAAAUUCGUAGAUAUUCG